This 2897-nucleotide ribosomal RNA is filed under the name Candidatus Nealsoniibacteriota bacterium. Its description in RNAcentral is "bacterial LSU rRNA". It matches the Rfam family "Bacterial large subunit ribosomal RNA". The record is from RNAcentral. Lineage: Bacteria; Candidatus Nealsoniibacteriota.
UGCAAAUUUAGAGGCUGAUGGUGGAUGCCUCGGGACCGCAAGUCGAUGAAGGACGUGGCGUGCCUGCGAUAAGCUUCGGGGAGGUGGCUAGCAACCUAUGAUCCGGAGAUAUCCCAAUGGGGAAACCCGCUUUGGUAAACCCAAAGCAUCUCUCUGCCGUGGUAGCAGGGAGAGGAGAUACCCGCUGAAUUGAAACAUCUUAGUAGGCGGAGGAAAAUAAAACAAAUGUGAUUCCCUAAGUAGCGGCGAGCGAAAUGGGAAUAGCCCAAACUCUAUCUUUUGAUAGGGGGUUGUGGGAUUAUUACGUCCGGAGCUUGCUCCGGGGAGAGUUAAAUCUUAAUCGUUAGUUGAAGGACCCUGGAAAGGGCAACCAUAGAGGGUAAAAGUCCCGUAAAUUAAAACGAUUUGGAACUCUCGGUAAUUUUCCCGAGUACCACUGGAAACGAUAGCCCAGUGGGAAGCAAGCAGAACUAUCUGUUAAGGCUAAAUACUAGGCGGUCACCGAUAGCGAACCAGUACCGUGAGGGAAAGGUGAAAAGUAGCCCGGUAAGGGCGGUGAAAUAGAACCUGAAACCAUCAGCUUACAAGGAGUCGGAGCCCCUUUUAGGGGUGACGGCGUGCCUUUUGCAGAAUGAGCCAACGAGUCGCCUGUUCCGGUUUUGCUUAAGCUCUUCUGGAGUGAAAGCUUAGGGGAACCGAGUACUAAAUGUGCGUCUUCUCUUUUGAGAAUGAUCGGUGCAGGCGGACCCGAAACCAAGCGAUCUUGCCAUGGCCAGGGUGAACCCCGUAGAAAUACGGGAGGAGGCCCGAACCUUUAAGUCGUGCAAUACUUUAGGAUGAGCUGUGGUAAGCAGUGAAAAGCUAAUCGAGCUUGGUAAUAGCUGGUUCUCUCCGAAAUAGCUUUAGGGCUAGCGUCCUUGCAAGGCUUCCGGGGGUAGAGCGACUGGAUUGAAUUUCGCGGGAUUUAUCCCAGAUCUUCCAACCAAACUCCGAAUACCGGAAGUAAAUCAAGGGCAGUCAGACUGUGGGGGAUAAGCUCCAUGGUCAAAAGGGAAACAGCCCAGACCCCAAGAUAAGGCCCCUAAAUCCGGAUUAAGUGUAAGUAAGGAAGUGGAUUUCCUCUGAUAGUCAGGAGGUUAGCUUAGAAGCAGCUAUCCUUUAAAAAGUGCGUAACAGCUUACUGAUUAAGGGAGUCCGCACCGUAAAUUUCCGGGACUAAAUCCGGUGCCGAAGCUGGGGAUGCUGUUUGAGAAAUCUUACAGCGUGGUAGGAGAGCGUUCCUCGUUCGUUGAAGCGGAAUCCGUGAGGAUCCGUGGAGAGCGGGGAAGUGAGAAUGUUGGCAUGAGUAACCGCAAUUCCGGUGAAAGCCCGGAACGCCGAAAGCCCAAGGUUUCCUUGGCAAUGACAAUCAGCCAAGGGUUAGGCGGCCCUAAGGAGUAGCCGAAAGGUGAAUCCGAUGGACAGCCGGUUAAUAUUCCGGCCCUUCGUACGGUUUUUUCUUUGAAAGACGAAGGUUAGUAACUUGCGCGGAUUAUCGGAUUUCCGUCCUUGCUCUAAGGUAACAAGGAGUGAGGGGAAGCUUCCUUUAAGAAGUGAACGCAAGCGAGCAACCUUCCGGGAAAAUUUCUUAGAAAGCUAAGCCGUGCGAAUCCGUACCGCAAACCGACACAGGUGGGCGGGUGUAAGAGCACCAAGGCGAACGGGUGAAACCUCGUUAAGGAACUCGGCAAACAAGCGACCGUAACUUCGGGAUAAGGUCUGCCACGCAUUGCGUGGCCGCAGCGAAAGUUCCCCUGGCGACUGUUUAUCAAAAACACAGGUCCCUGCUUAACUCGUAAGAGGAUGCAUAGGGGCUGAGGCCUGACCAGUGCUGGAACGUUAACUCCGCCGGUCCUUUUGGGCUGAGCGGGUGAAGCGCCAGUAAACGUCGGCGGUAACUAUAACCGUCUUAAAGUAGCGUAAUCCCUUGCCGGGUAAGUUCCGGCCCGCACGAAAGGCUUCACGACUGGGGGGCUGUCUCAACGAGGCGCCCGGUGAAAAUGCAAUACCGGUAAAGAUGCCGGUUACCUGUGGAAAGACGAAAAGACCCCGGGAGCUUUACUGUAUCCAGUUAUUGGGUCUUGAAUUUAGAUGCAGAGCGUAGGUGGGAGACUUUGAAACUCUACUUCCGGGUAGAGUGGAGUCGUCAAUGGAACACCACCCUUCUAAGUUCCUGAUUCUAACUUCCGUUAACCUCGGAAGAACAGUGACUGGUGGUCAGUUUGAGUGGGGCGCUCUUCUCCUAAAGAGUAACGGAGAAGCCCAAAGGUCAGCUAGCUCCGGAUGGAAAUCGGAGUGAUAGGGUAAAACCAUAAGCUGGCUUAACUGCAAGGCGUAUAUGCCGCGCAGGUACGAAAGUAGGGUUUAGUGAACCGACGUGUCCUAAUAGGACGCGCGGAGACAUCAACUAAAAGUUACCCCGGGGAUAACAGGCUGGUAGGGCCCGCGAGUCCGUAUCAACGGCCCUGUUCGGCACCUCGAUGUCGGCUCAUCACAUCCUGGGGGUGUAGCAACUCCCAAGGGUUUGGCUGUUCGCCAAUUAAAGUGGUACGUGAGCUGGGUUCAGACCGUCGUGAGACAGGUCGGUCUCUAUCUUCCAUAGGCGUCGAGUCUUGAGGAGAUUUGUCCCUAGUACGAGAGGACCGGGAUGAACUAACCUCUGGUGUACCAGCUGUCCUGCCAAGGGCACUGCUGGAUAGCUAAGUUGGGAAGGGAUAAGCGCUGAAGGCAUCUAAGCGCGAAGCCUACUCCAAGAUUAGGACUCAUAGGUCCCUCAAAGAUGAUGAGGUUGAUAGGCUGCAGGUGCAAGUGUCGCAAGGCAUUUAGCCGAGCAGUACUAAUUAACCAAUUGCAUGUUU